GUCUGGGUGGCUCAGUUGGUUAGAGCAUGGUGCUGAUGACACCAAGGCCGUGGGUUCGAUCCCCGUAUGGGACA
Non-coding RNA from Podarcis raffonei (Aeolian wall lizard), 74 nucleotides. The record is from the annotation of a RefSeq genome assembly. NCBI's taxonomy places the organism in Eukaryota, Metazoa, Chordata, Lepidosauria, Squamata, Lacertidae.